GCCAAUGGUGCAAUGGUGAACACGGUUGUCUCAUGAACAGCGUGCCCGGAGUUCUAGUCCCGGCAGUGGCG
This is a non-coding RNA of Paragonimus skrjabini miyazakii, 71 nucleotides long. The record is from the annotation of a GenBank genome assembly. NCBI's taxonomy places the organism in Eukaryota, Metazoa, Platyhelminthes, Trematoda, Plagiorchiida, Troglotrematidae.